ACUAUGGAGAGUACAAGGAAUUAUGAGUAGAUACAUUGUAUUGAAAAUAUACUCAUUGAAGUAGUAA
Molecule: non-coding RNA, 67 nt
Organism: Fusobacterium hwasookii ChDC F128
Lineage: Bacteria; Fusobacteriati; Fusobacteriota; Fusobacteriia; Fusobacteriales; Fusobacteriaceae
Source: Rfam